RNAcentral lists this ribosomal RNA (433 nucleotides) under uncultured bacterium. RNAcentral describes it as "partial 16S ribosomal RNA". It matches the Rfam family "Bacterial small subunit ribosomal RNA", at positions 29 to 507 of the family's 1533-position model. The record is from RNAcentral.
AACGAACGCUGGCGGCAUGCCUAACACAUGCAAGUCGAACGAGACCUUCGGGUCUAGUGGCGCACGGGUGCGUAACGCGUGGGAACCUGCCCUUAGGUUCGGAAUAACUCCCCGACAGGGGUGCUAAUACCGGAUAAUGUCUUCGGACCAAAGAUUUAUCGCCUUUGGAUGGGCCCGCGUUGGAUUAGCUAGUUGGUAGGGUAAAGGCCUACCAAGGCGACGAUCCAUAGCUGGUCUGAGAGGAUGAUCAGCCACACUGGGACUGAGACACGGCCCAGACUCCUACGGGAGGCAGCAGUGGGGAAUAUUGGACAAUGGGCGAAAGCCUGAUCCAGCAAUGCCGCGUGAGUGAUGAAGGCCUUAGGGUUGUAAAGCUCUUUUACCCGGGAUGAUAAUGACAGUACCGGGAGAAUAAGCUCCGGCUAACUCCGUG